GGCGACCGGCGCACGGGUGAGUAACACGUAUCCAACCUGCCGUCUACUCUUGGACAGCCUUCUGAAAGGAAGAUUAAUACAAGAUGGCAUCAUGAGUCCGCAUGUUCACAUGAUUAAAGGUAUUCCGGUAGACGAUGGGGAUGCGUUCCAUUAGAUAGUAGGCGGGGUAACGGCCCACCUAGUCUUCGAUGGAUAGGGGUUCUGAGAGGAAGGUCCCCCACAUUGGAACUGAGACACGGUCCAAACUCCUACGGGAGGCAGCAGUGAGGAAUAUUGGUCAAUGGGCGAGAGCCUGAACCAGCCAAGUAGCGUGAAGGAUGACUGCCCUAUGGGUUGUAAACUUCUUUUAUAAAGGAAUAAAGUCGGGUAUGGAUACCCGUUUGCAUGUACUUUAUGAAUAAGGAUCGGCUAACUCCGUGCCAGCAGCCGCGGUAAUACGGAGGAUCCGAGCGUUAUCCGGAUUUAUUGGGUUUAAAGGGAGCGUAGAUGGAUGUUUAAGUCAGUUGUGAAAGUUUGCGGCUCAACCGUAAAAUUGCAGUUGAUACUGGAUAUCUUGAGUGCAGUUGAGGCAGGCGGAAUUCGUGGUGUAGCGGUGAAAUGCUUAGAUAUCACGAAGAACUCCGAUUGCGAAGGCAGCCUGCUAAGCUGCAACUGACAUUGAGGCUCGAAAGUGUGGGUAUCAAACAGGAUUAGAUACCCUGGUAGUCCACACGGUAAACGAUGAAUACUCGCUGUUUGCGAUAUACUGCAAGCGGCCAAGCGAAAGCGUUAAGUAUUCCACCUGGGGAGUACGCCGGCAACGGUGAAACUCAAAGGAAUUGACGGGGGCCCGCACAAGCGGAGGAACAUGUGGUUUAAUUCGAUGAUACGCGAGGAACCUUACCCGGGCUUAAAUUGCAGAUGAAUUACGGUGAAAGCCGUAAGCCGCAAGGCAUCUGUGAAGGUGCUGCAUGGUUGUCGUCAGCUCGUGCCGUGAGGUGUCGGCUUAAGUGCCAUAACGAGCGCAACCCUUGUUGUCAGUUACUAACAGGUUCCGCUGAGGACUCUGACAAGACUGCCAUCGUAAGAUGUGAGGAAGGUGGGGAUGACGUCAAAUCAGCACGGCCCUUACGUCCGGGGCUACACACGUGUUACAAUGGGGGGUACAGAGGGCCGCUACCACGCGAGUGGAUGCCAAUCCCCAAAACCUCUCUCAGUUCGGACUGGAGUCUGCAACCCGACUCCACGAAGCUGGAUUCGCUAGUAAUCGCGCAUCAGCCACGGCGCGGUGAAUACGUUCCCGGGCCUUGUACACACCGCCCGUCAAGCCAUGGGAGCCGGGGGUACCUGAAGUGCGUAACCGCGAGGAGCGCCCUAGGGUA
RNAcentral lists this ribosomal RNA (1361 nucleotides) under uncultured organism. RNAcentral describes it as "16S ribosomal RNA". It matches the Rfam family "Bacterial small subunit ribosomal RNA", at positions 90 to 1464 of the family's 1533-position model. The record is from RNAcentral.